This 496-nucleotide ribosomal RNA is filed under the name uncultured bacterium. RNAcentral describes it as "partial 16S ribosomal RNA". It matches the Rfam family "Bacterial small subunit ribosomal RNA", at positions 28 to 506 of the family's 1533-position model. The record is from RNAcentral.
GAUGAACGCUGGUGGCGUGCCUAAUACAUGCAAGUCGAGCGAACGGACGAGAAGCUUGCUUCUCUGAUGUUAGCGGCGGACGGGUGAGUAACACGUGGAUAACCUACCUAUAAGACUGGGAUAACUUCGGGAAACCGGAGCUAAUACCGGAUAAUAUUUUGAACCGCAUGGUUCAAAAGUGAAAGACGGUCUUGCUGUCACUUAUAGAUGGAUCUGCGCUGCAUUAGCUAGUUGGUAAGGUAACGGCUUACCAAGGCAACGAUGCAUAGCCGACCUGAGAGGGGGAUCGGCCACACUGGAACUGAGACACGGUCCAGACUCCUACGGGAGGCAGCAGUAGGGAAGCUUCCGCAAUGGGCGAAAGCCUGACGGAGCAACGCCGCGUGAGUGAUGAAGGGCUGCGGAUCGUAAAACUCUGUUAUUAGGGAAGAACAUAUGUGUAAGUAACUGUGCACAUCUUGACGGUACCUAAUCAGAAAGCCACGGCUAACUACGU